GCGUAAAGCGUGCGCAGGCGGUUUGCUAAGACAGGUGUGAAAUCCCCGAGCUUAACUUGGGAAUUGCGCUUGUAACUGGCAAGCUAGAGUGUGGCAGAGGGGGGUGGAAUUCCACGUGUAGCAGUGAAAUGCGUAGAUAUGUGGAGGAACACCGAUGGCGAAGGCAGCCCCCUGGGUUAACACUGACGCUCAUGCACGAAAGCGUGGGGAGCAAACAGGAUUAGAUACCCUGGUAGUCCACGCCCUAAACUAUGUCAACUAGUUGUCGGGGAAGAAAUUCCUUGGUAACGAAGCUAACGCGUGAAGUUGACCGCCCGGGGAGUACGGCCGCAAGGUUAAAACUCAAAGGAAUUGACGGGGACCCGCACAAGCGGUGGAUUAUGUGGAUUAAUUCGAUACAACGCGAAAAACCUUACCUACCCUUGACAUGCCAGGAAGCCCGCAGAGAUGUGGGUGUGCCCGAAAGGGAACCUGGACACAGGUGCUGCAUGGCUGUCGUCAGCUCGUGUCGUGAGAUGUUGGGUUAAGUCCCGCAACGAGCGCAACCCUUGCCAUUAGUUGCUACAUUCAGUUGGGCACUCUAAUGGGACCGCCGGUGACAAACUCGGAGGAAGGUGGGGAUGACGUCAAGUCCUCAUGGCCCUUAUGGGUAGGGCUUCACACGUAAUACAAUGGUCGGUACAGAGGGCUGCCAACCCGCAAGGGGGAGCUAAUCCCAGAAAGCCGAUCGUAGUCCGGAUUGUAGUCUGCAACUCGACUGCAUGAAGCCGGAAUCGCUAGUAAUCGCGGAUC
Molecule: ribosomal RNA, 792 nt
Filed under: uncultured beta proteobacterium
Lineage: Bacteria; Pseudomonadati; Pseudomonadota; Betaproteobacteria
Description: bacterial SSU rRNA
Rfam family: Bacterial small subunit ribosomal RNA
Source: RNAcentral